UAGCUUGCUAGAACCUACACACAGGUGCUGCACGGCUGUCGUCAGCUCGUGUCGUGAGAUGUGGGUUAAGUCCCGCAACGAGCGCAACCCUCGUCCUUAGUUGCUAACAGUUCGGCUGAGCACUCUAGGGAGACUGCCUUCGCAAGGAGGAGGAAGGUGAGGACGACGUCAAGUCAUCAUGGCCCUUACGGCCAGGGCUACACACGUGCUACAAUGGGGCGUACAGAGAGCUGCGAUACCGCGAGGUGGAGCCAAUCUCUUAAAGCGUCUCUCAGUUCGGAUUGUUCUCUGCAACUCGAGAACAUGAAGCUGGAAUCACUAGUAAUCGCAGAUCAGCUAUGCUGCGGCGAAUACGUUCCCGGGUCUU
Molecule: ribosomal RNA, 367 nt
Filed under: uncultured Sulfuricurvum sp.
Lineage: Bacteria; Pseudomonadati; Campylobacterota; Epsilonproteobacteria; Campylobacterales; Sulfurimonadaceae
Description: bacterial SSU rRNA
Rfam family: Bacterial small subunit ribosomal RNA
Source: RNAcentral